RNAcentral lists this ribosomal RNA (484 nucleotides) under uncultured bacterium. RNAcentral describes it as "partial 16S ribosomal RNA". It matches the Rfam family "Bacterial small subunit ribosomal RNA", at positions 30 to 507 of the family's 1533-position model. The record is from RNAcentral.
AUUGAACGCUGGCGGCAGGCCUAACACAUGCAAGUCGAGCGGAUGAAGGGAGCUUGCUCCUGGAUUCAGCGGCGGACGGGUGAGUAAUGCCUAGGAAUCUGCCUGGUAGUGGGGGAUAACGUCCGGAAACGGGCGCUAAUACCGCAUACGUCCUGAUGGAGAAAGUGGGGGAUCUUCGGACCUCACGCUAUCAGAUGAGCCUAGGUCGGAUUAGCUAGUUGGUGGGGUAAAGGCCUACCAAGGCGACGAUCCGUAACUGGUCUGAGAGGAUAAUAAGUAACACUGGAACGGAGACAGGGUCCAGGCGACUGCGGGAGGCAGCAGUGGGGAAUAUUGGACAGUGGGCGAAAGCCUGAUCCAGCCAUGCCGCGUGUGUGAAGAAGGUCUUCGGAUUGUAAAGCACUUUAAGUUGGGAGGAAGGGCAGUAAGUUAAUACCUUGCUGUUUUGACGUUACCAACAGAAUAAGCACCGGCUAACUUCGUG